This 271-nucleotide ribosomal RNA is filed under the name uncultured Eubacteriales bacterium. RNAcentral's name for it is "uncultured Clostridiales bacterium partial 16S ribosomal RNA". It matches the Rfam family "Bacterial small subunit ribosomal RNA", at positions 58 to 339 of the family's 1533-position model. The record is from RNAcentral. Lineage: Bacteria; Bacillati; Bacillota; Clostridia; Eubacteriales.
UUCGGUCAAGUUGAACGGAUGACUUAGUGGCGGACGGGUGAGUAACGCGUGAGGAACCUGCCUUUCAGUGGGGGACAACAGUUGGAAACGACUGCUAAUACCGCAUAACGUAUCGGGAUGGCAUCUUCCUGAUACCAAAGAUUUUAUCGCUUAGAGAUGGGCUCGCGUCUGAUUAGCUAGUUGGUGAGGUAACGGCCCACCAAGGCGACGAUCAGUAGCCGGUCUGAGAGGAUGAACGGCCACAUUGGGACUGAGAUACGGCCCAGACUCC